Molecule: ribosomal RNA, 370 nt
Filed under: uncultured bacterium
Lineage: Bacteria
Description: bacterial SSU rRNA
Rfam family: Bacterial small subunit ribosomal RNA
Source: RNAcentral
GGAGGGAGCGAGCGUUGUUCGGAAUUACUGGGCGUAAAGCGUAUGUAGGCGGCUUCGUAAGUCGGGUGUGAAAUCCCGGGGCUUAACCCCGGAACUGCAUUCGAGACUGCAAGGCUUGAGUAUCGGAGAGGUUGGCGGAAUUCCCAGUGUAGCAGUGAAAUGCGCAGAUAUUGGGAGGAACACCGAUGGCGUAAGCAGCCAACUGGACGAUUACUGACGCUGAGAUACGAAAGUAUGGGGAGCAAACAGGAUUAGAUACCCUGGUAGUCCAUACCAUAAACGAUGUGUGCUAGCUGCUGGGAUCCUUAGGGUCUCGGUGGCGCAGCUAACGCUUUAAGCACACCGCCUGGGGAGUACGGUCGCAAGAUUA